UGGGUAGGGGAGCGUCGUGUGCCGGGUGAAGCAGCCGCGGAAGCGAGUUGUGGACGGUUCACGAGUGAGAAUGCAGGCAUGAGUAGCGAUACACACGUGAGAAACGUGUGCGCCGAUUGACUAAGGGUUCCUGGGUCAAGCUGAUCUGCCCAGGGUAAGUCGGGACCUAAGGCGAGGCCGACAGGCGUAGUCGAUGGACAACCGGUUGAUAUUCCGGUACCCGCUUUGAAACGCCCAGUACUGAAUCAGGCGAUGCUAAGUCCGUGAAGCCGGCCCGAUCUCUUCGGAGUUGAGGGUAGUGGUGGAGCCGAUGAACCAGACUUGUAGUAGGUAAGCGAUGGGGUGACGCAGGAAGGUAGUCCAGCCCGGGCGGUGGUUGUCCCGGGGUAAGGGUGUAGGACG
Molecule: ribosomal RNA, 402 nt
Filed under: Streptomyces sp. NRRL F-2295
Lineage: Bacteria; Bacillati; Actinomycetota; Actinomycetes; Kitasatosporales; Streptomycetaceae
Description: bacterial LSU rRNA
Rfam family: Bacterial large subunit ribosomal RNA
Source: RNAcentral